CCUACGGGUGGCAGCAGUGAGGAAUAUUGGUCAAUGGGCGCGAGCCUGAACCAGCCAAGUAGCGUGAAGGAUGACUGCCCUACGGGUUGUAAACUUCUUUUAUAAAGGAAUAAAGUGAGGCACGUGUGCCUUUUUGUAUGUACUUUAUGAAUAAGGAUCGGCUAACUCCGUGCCAGCAGCCGCGGUAAUACGGAGGAUGCGAGCGUUAUCCGGAUUUAUUGGGUUUAAAGGGUGCGCAGGCGGAGGCACAAGUCAGCGGUAAAAUCGCGGGGCUCAACCCCGCUCCGCCGUUGAAACUGUGUCCCUUGAGUGCGCGAAGGGUAGGCGGAAUGCGUGGUGUAGCGGUGAAAUGCUUAGAUAUCACGAAGAACUCCGAUUGCGAAGGCAGCCUACUAAACUGUGACUGACAUUGAUGCUCGAAAGUGUGGGUAUCAAACAGGAUUAGAUACCCCGGUAGUC
RNAcentral lists this ribosomal RNA (459 nucleotides) under uncultured bacterium. Its description in RNAcentral is "partial 16S ribosomal RNA". It matches the Rfam family "Bacterial small subunit ribosomal RNA", at positions 338 to 795 of the family's 1533-position model. The record is from RNAcentral.